This 1168-nucleotide long non-coding RNA is filed under the name Arabidopsis lyrata. RNAcentral describes it as "long non-coding RNA (ALYR_LNC000432)". The record is from RNAcentral. Lineage: Eukaryota; Viridiplantae; Streptophyta; Magnoliopsida; Brassicales; Brassicaceae.
GGAGAUCUCCAGUGAUGUACAAUUAUAGCCGUUCGUCAGGAUUCUACGCAGAGAGGGAAGUGUCCAUCAAGAGCAUAAAGAAGGAGGUGAAGGAGGUGAGUAUGAAGAAGAAGGUGAAAAAGAUGUCGUCUGUCGUGGAUCUAAUAAGGGUCGGAAGGAAUUGUCCGUUGUAGAAUCGUCUAUGUAACAGUUCUCAUAAUUUGCAAUAAAUAAUAAAUCCAGAUGUUAAAAAAAAAAAAAAGUAAAUAAAGUCAUAGUCGCUUGGAUUUGAAGAUAACAAAGUUAAAAUUGGAUCAUUAUGGACUUUAAAACUAGAAACUGAAAUAUAUAUGUUGAUACAUGUAAAAUUCUUAUAUGUUUUCUAACGUAUGUCACAAUUUAUUGACUAUUCUAUCCAUAUAAAACAAAAAUUUGUUGUUUAUAAGAAUAUUUUUGACAACGCCUACCAAAAAAAAGAAUAUUUUUGACAAGAGGUAAAAUUUUAUCUCUUUCAAAAGUUUGUGGUGCGAAAAAAUAUUUUUAACGCAUAUUGAAAUCUAAUCGAUUAGCUAACAAAUGUUUUAAUUGUUAAUAAGUUUUCUGCUUUAUGUCAGAUCAAACUUUAAAUAAUAUGGUUUAUUCUAAAUCUCACUUGCAAUUUUAUUUGAAGAUAGUAUUUUCUGAGGGCCAGCCAAUCCACACUUUCUAAAAGCUAGAACGAUGAUCUUCGACUUUGGGAUUUUGGAAGCUACUUUGUAAGAGUUAUAAAAAGAGUGUAACAUGUGGAAGAAGUACGGUGCAAAUAAAGCUUUCUUGUGGAAGUCCCCUUGGCCCAUUGGUUAAACAAAGGUUAAUUAAUGAUUCUACACCCAGAGGUCUGGGGUUCGAGUCCCAGAUACUGCGAUUUAUUAAUAAAAUUUGCAGAUUAUUGGAGGCAAGUGUGUUGGAGAUCUCCAGCGAUGUACAAUUAUAGCCGUUCGCCAGGAUUCUACGCAGAGAGGGAAGUGUCCAUCAAGAGCAUAAAGAAGGAGGUGAAGGAGGUGAGUACGAAGAAGAAGGUGUCGUCUAUCGUGGAUCUAAUAAGGGUCGGAAGGAAUUGUCCGUUGUAGAAUCGUCUAUGUAACAGUUCUCAUAAUUUGCAAUAAAUAAUAAAUCCAGACGUUAAAAAAAAAAAUAAAGCUUUCCUUUU